ACUCAACACGAAUUCUUUGAGAAGGGUGAGUUUAAGUUGUAAAAGCGUGCCGUAUCCCUCGGGAAAGCGGAUUCUUGAGCAGCUUGUUAGCCCUAAACCUGAUUUUAAAGAGUUU
Molecule: small RNA, 115 nt
Filed under: Salegentibacter flavus
Lineage: Bacteria; Pseudomonadati; Bacteroidota; Flavobacteriia; Flavobacteriales; Flavobacteriaceae
Also listed under: 2 other names
Description: 6S-Flavo RNA
Rfam family: 6S-Flavo RNA
Source: Rfam by way of RNAcentral